Molecule: non-coding RNA, 160 nt
Organism: Triticum urartu
Lineage: Eukaryota; Viridiplantae; Streptophyta; Magnoliopsida; Poales; Poaceae
Source: Rfam
UGUUCACCAAAAACAUAGGUCUCCGCAAAGUCGUAAUACCAUGUCUGGGGGCUGAUGCCUGCCUAGUGCCGGAUGGUCAAGGAAGUUGGUGAACUGAUAGCGGCGAAGCCGGCGACCGAAGCUCCGAUAAACAACGGCGGGAUGAAUUUCGCUAGAGGCU